UCUUUAGACCUCGUGCGAUUGGAGCNGCCGAUGUCGGAUUAGCUAGUUGGUGGGGUAAAGGCUUACCAAGGCGACGAUCCGUAGCUGGUCUGAGAGGACGACCAGCCACACUGGGACUGAGACACGGCCCAGACUCCUACGGGAGGCAGCAGUGGGGAAUUUUGGACAAUGGGCGCAAGCCUGAUCCAGCCAUGCCGCGUGAGUGAAGAAGGCCUUCGGGUUGUAAAGCUCUUUCGGACGGAAAGAAAUCGUANGGGCUAAUACCCUAUCUGGAUGACGGUACCGUAAGAAGAAGCACCGGCUAACUACGUGCCAGCAGCCGCGGUAAUACGUAGGGUGCGAGCGUUAAUCGGAAUUACUGGGCGUAAAGCGUGCGCAGGCGGUUGCAUAAGACAGGUGUGAAAUCCCCGGGCUUAACCUGGGAACUGCGCUUGUGACUGCAAGGCUAGAGUACGGCAG
Molecule: ribosomal RNA, 459 nt
Filed under: Azoarcus sp.
Lineage: Bacteria; Pseudomonadati; Pseudomonadota; Betaproteobacteria; Rhodocyclales; Zoogloeaceae
Description: bacterial SSU rRNA
Rfam family: Bacterial small subunit ribosomal RNA
Source: RNAcentral